Long non-coding RNA from Gopherus evgoodei (Goodes thornscrub tortoise), 4448 nucleotides. RefSeq lists it as uncharacterized. The record is from RefSeq and is a predicted model, not a curated record. Lineage: Eukaryota; Metazoa; Chordata; Testudines; Testudinidae. The transcript has 3 exons.
AGGGACAACAGGGGUGUGAGUGCUUCUGGGCAGGCCAUACACUAACACAAAAAGCCACAUCCCUAGGGCAUCAGCAGCUUUGGAGGUUUCUCUCCUAAGCACUGUUGGGGAGAAGCGUUUACCUUAUGUACCAGCCUCAGUGCAAAAGGUGAGUGUCUCUGUGUGAAAUGCUUGGUGCACCACAUGGCCACAUCAGGAACCUCACCUCACCAGCUGGAAUGACUCCACAUGUGCAUUUUCCCAGCUAGAUUAACAACCUCAAAGGUAAUUUCCCACUCCCCACCCCCAGGCGUUAUGCUGGUUCUUCACAUCUUGGCCCUCAAACCCACCCUGCUUCUGGGUUUGAAGAUAGGGGGACACAAGGGCUAAAGGCUCUUCUUCCUUUCAUGCUACCCACCAUGUCCUACCAAGCUCGUCCCAGGUCUUGCCUUGAACGCACAGGCAGUUUAGAUAGGACUGUACCCAGAGAACAGCUUGGUGAACUUUCAUUUGGAUGGCCACCAAAAGGGCCCAGCAAGAGUAUCUUCCCUUAGGUCCCAUCAACUCCCAGGUCACCUCUGCCUUUUACCCGUGUCCUGAAUGUGCAUGUUCCACUGGGCAUGGGCGCAGGUGUCUCUGCUCCCAGAUCUCAGUUCUCCCACCAGCUGGCUGGUUUCGAGGGGCUUUUAAAAUUCUUCUACUUCUAUCGCUGGUGUCAGGGUGGACAAAGUCCCUUAGGCCACACCUAGUCUACCCCCAUUGGCCACUGCAGUCCCCUCCAGCAUACUCUCCCACGGUUUGCCUAGUCCAGUUCUAAAGAGCCUAAACCCUCAAUACCAAUACUACUUUCCUUGGGAGACUAUACCACAGUCCAACUGAUCCCACUAGUAUCUUCCCCUUCCCAGUCCAAGCCACUGGUUGGUCCUUUCUGUCCACAAGAUCAGGUCUCCAUUGCUGGGAAAGCUUCAGUCAGGUCUUUAAUGCAGGUCUCCACUCAUGAGCCAAUGCCACGUGGCCAUCUUUAAAAAAAUGUGACAAAACCCUCACACUGGAGAAAAGGAUUGCCUAUUGCUCCCACGUCUGCCUUGGCUACACCGAGUGGUGCAUCUCUCUCCUAAUACUGGAUGCAGUGAUUAGCUGCUGUCCUUUGUUGGAUGCUAAAUGGUGCCUGUAAAGGACUGAGAUAUUAUUCUCUUCCUUAUUCCAUACAACACAGGAGGAACAAUUGUAACUGCAAACCAUUAUUCCUAGUGUUGAGUGAGGACACUCUGCAUCCUGAGUGAAAAUAUCUUAAUGCUGCCAGGCCACUCAUUGCUUAUAGGUACAGCCGCCACCAUUGGUUCCACUCAAUGAACCAUUUUGAGCACUAAUUGUUUAAUCACAUUCUUUUCUUUUGGUUACAAAAACUCAAACCGCCAAUUCCUUACCAGGUCUGUGCUUUGCAUCUUAAAAAGAAGGCUCAAUAGAUUUCAAAACAGAUGUGUUGAUUUAGUCUUUAACAGUAGCACAACAGAUAUCGCCGAUCAUCUCACUGUAAAUGUGUACUACAAAGACAAUUGGUAAUGAAAUUAUCCAGCCCUCUAAAAAUAUCUAGCUACUACAUCACAAUGAGUUUUGAAUGAGCUAAAGCACUCAGCGAUAUUGUUCACUGCAGAAAGGUCAUUAACUACUGUAACUGUGUUUCUGUUAAAAGGCCUGGAUAAUUUUAUAAUCAGUUAUAUCUUUAUCACGCAUGUAUGACAGGAUAACUCAACUGUCAUGUUUCAGGGCAUCAGCUGAUUCCUUCCUGACCCACUGAAUCACUUUUCCAGCCCCACACCACCACAGCACUCCAGUUUCCUCUCCUGCAGUGCCUUUCGUACAAGGAGUUCAAAGCACUUUACAAAUAUUAACAUAUUUUGUCUCCCCCAACCCCCCACCCCCAAAGGCAGGUCAGUAUCACCUUCCCCCCCAGCUAUUGAUAGGAAACUGAAGCAAAGAGUUGCAAAGUGACUUGCCCAGCAUUAUACACCAAGUCAAUAGCAGAGCCUUGAGUGGAACCAAGGAGAUCUGAGUAAGAUCUAACUCCAGAUUCACUUCUGAGAGGCUAAGUACCUUUGGCAGGGGUGUCACCUUACCCUAAACAUUCAGGUAUUGAUGACUGCAAGAAUCAGAAUACCAGACUAGACAGGUCAUGAUAUAUAUGGCUGGGUAAAACUUGUCUUCCCCCAAAGUUAUAUUGCCACAUGGACACCCCAUGUCUUGGUGUGUUUAGCCGUUUAGCAUCAUAUCGUGAGGGGACCCUGUCAGGCAAAUGGGUGGAGACCCCACCUAGGAGCUGGGGAGAGAGAGAAACACCUAACAAACAACAGGGGGCUAGGCAGUGCCACAAAACUAGAGAUGGGGCCGGCUGGGACGCUUAAGUUUCCCCCUACAUUUGGGAGGGUUUGGCUCAGAGGGGUGGAUGUCAGUGUCCUGGCCCACUGGUAGCAGGGCCAGCCAUAGCUGCAACCUGCAGCCAACAUCUCCAAGGCCAACAUACAUCUAGGCUUUCCGCCUCCUCUCCAUAUCCUAGCAACGGGGGCUACCAUCUCCCCCAGAACUCUUGCUGCGGAGGCUAAGCAGCUUGCCCUGCUGUGAAUUCAGGUCUCCGGACACAGCUGGGUAUGUGGGCCCAAGGGUGGCAAAGGCUGGGAACGGGAACAUCUUGGAUCGCCCGGGGCUCUGAUCAGGGAGCUCUUGGCGCUUUUAACCCUGGCUACCCCUGUGAGGCUUUGGCGAGACUUUCCAGUUCCCAUCAGUUACUGCCUGGCGCUCACCCCCCCCCCCAUUAAACAAACAUCUGGGCCAGCUAAUCGAGUCCUGUGGAGCGAGGAGGCUGAUGUGGAGGUGUAAUUUGAAACCCAGCUCCCUGCAGGCUCUGCCUUACCAGGCAGGUGGCAGCCCUUUACCUACAGUCCCUGGCUCGCCAGUAAAACUCCUCAGCACAGGGGAGCUGUUUAGCAUCAAAUAUUUAUUUAAGCCCAAAGAGCUGGUGCAUGGAUCAGGUUUCCGGAGGCUCCGGGUCUCCUCUUGCCUCUUUGUGCGCGUCGGGGGCUGUGCCAGGGACAGAUAAAUAAAUAAUAAAAUGCCACGUGGUGACAUAAUGCUCGCCAUGAAGUGCCCCCCCCCCAUGCUAGUUCUCCCCCUCCCAGACACACACGGCUACAAACAUCCAGGUGCCAGGAGAGUGUGGGAUCAGCCCUCGGUGAACAGCUGGUGUCAGGGGAAGGUGCAGGCAGGGUUCACUGCUGCCAGGCGCUGGUGUUCAAGAGGUAUUUACAGCACGACUGUCUCUCUCUCCAAAAAUCAAGAUAAUCUGAGCCCCGCCCUCCCACACAGCCCCAAUUAAUACAUUCCAUUAACGGAGACAGACUGCAGGCUGGCCCCGAGUUAGCAAAGCCCGUCGGCACGUUGAAGUCAAUGGGAUUAUUAAUUGGGUUAAAGCCAGGCAAAGUGCUUUGCUAUAUGUCAAUGCACACGCAUACCCACUCACCCUGCUGGGCCUUUGGAACUCACUUCCACUGCUGGCAAGUAAUAGUCUGAGUUUGCAAACCUUCAGAGUGUGCUGCAAGACCCAUCUCUGAGCCCUAGCCUGGAAGGCGGUUGCUAGAGCUGAGUGAUGGUGGUGUGGGAUCCCAGGGGAAGGGUUUAAACUAUCUCUUUGGGACAGAGACUGGAAUUUACUAUAGCUUUGUACAGCACCAAGCACAGUGGGGCCCCAACUUGGAUGGUCUCUAGGUGCUACCAUGAUAUAAACUUUAAAUAACAAAAUAAGUUGUUGCUGGAGAAUUUGCUCUGUUUAUUUAUUAGUGUAAUUUUAAAAUUCAAGAGCAUGCAGAGCUUUCGAUGGUCAUUCUUAUAGAGUAAUAAAAAUUACAUGUAUUAAGUUAAAGCAAUUACAUCUAAGGGAAGAUGGUUCUUUCAUUUUAAAUAUUUCUAUUGUUCACAAUUAAGGGAAGAGCAAAUUCCUUCCAAGGAUGGUUUUGUACUAACAGGCCACAAUGCACAAUUUCAUGUUUUAAAGUCUAUUUGCACAGUUUGUUACUACAGUUUCAACUGGAAACAUUAGACUUCAUUUCCUGUCCUAACUGUGGUGUGGUAGCAAUGUUGUGUACUGUUAAACAGCUGCCAUACACCACUCCAGAGAUAGCCUAAUUUUAAUGACAAGUAAAGUGAUUGCUACCCAUAGGUAAAAAAUUCUCCUAUAUUUCUGGCUUGGCUUAUCUAGCCACAUUGGGCUGGUGCCACUUCACUCAGGUCAGUGGAAGGUACUGCGUGAAACCUGCAAGAGACUGUUAGUGCAAAGCAGAGAGAAUUCUGUCCAUCAUCUGCCAAAUGCAUUGGGUCUUCUGGGGAUGGAAGAGGCUGUAUAGGAUGUUAUCUAAAAGGAUCAGCCCUUCAGAUGACUGCAGAAGAAGCAGAAAAUGUCCGGGGCUUUGCUUCAAAUU